This 1170-nucleotide ribosomal RNA is filed under the name Triticum aestivum (bread wheat). RNAcentral's name for it is "partial small subunit ribosomal RNA". Lineage: Eukaryota; Viridiplantae; Streptophyta; Magnoliopsida; Poales; Poaceae. The record is from RNAcentral.
AUGGCCACCGCCACCGCCGCGCUCCACCUCCUCCUCCCCACCCGCCGCCGGGGCCGCCUCCUCGUCUCCCGCGCGUGCCAGGCCGACUCCUCCACCACCACGUCCCGCCGCGGCCUCAUUGCCGACGCCGCCACCGCGGCCGUGGCCGCCGCCGCCGCGCCGCUGCUGCUUCCCAGUAUCCCCGCGGCGCGCGCCGAGGACCUCUCCGAGUGGGAGCGCGUCGGGCUCCCCAUCGACCCCGGCGUCGUCCUGCUCGACAUCGCCUUCGUCCCCGACGACCCCUCCCACGGAUUCCUCCUGGGGACGAGGCAGACGAUCCUGGAGACCAAGGACGGCGGCCGCACCUGGUUCCCGCGCUCCAUCCCGUCGGCGGAGGACGAGGACUUCAACUACCGGUUCAACUCCGUCAGCUUCAGCGGCAAGGAGGGGUGGAUCGUCGGCAAGCCGGCCAUCCUGCUGCACACCAAGGACGCCGGCGACAGCUGGGAGAGGAUCCCGCUCAGCGCCCAGCUCCCAGGCGACAUGGUGUACAUCCAGGCUACCGGGGAGCAGAGCGCGGAGAUGGUGACCGACGAGGGAGCCAUCUACGUGACCUCCAACCGCGGCUACAACUGGAAGGCCGCCGUGCAGGAGACUGUCUCGGCCACCCUCAACAGAACAGUUUCAAGCGGCAUUAGCGGUGCGAGUUACUACACCGGCACCUUCAACACGGUGAACCGCUCGCCUGACGGCAGCUACGUCGCUGUCUCCAGCCGCGGCAACUUCUUCUUGACAUGGGAGCCUGGGCAGCUAUAUUGGCAACCGCACAACAGGGCUGUGGCGCGGCGGAUACAGAACAUGGGUUGGAGAGCAGAUGGUGGGCUCUGGCUCCUCGUGCGUGGUGGUGGACUCUUCCUCAGUAAAGGAACAGGGAUAGUUGAGGACUUUGAGGAAGCGUCGGUGCAAAGCCGGGGGUUUGGAAUCCUGGACGUGGGCUACCGCUCAAAGGAUGAGGCGUGGGCUGCCGGUGGGAGCGGCGUCUUGCUGAAAACAACUAACGGCGGCAAGACCUGGGUGCGCGACAGGGCCGCAGAUAACAUCCCCGGGAACCUCUACUCCGUAAAGUUCAUUGGCGACAACCAAGGGUUUGUGCUCGGGAACGACGGCGUCUUACUCCGAUAUGUUGGCUGA